ACAGCCAUAUAGCAUUGAAACACCAGUUCCCAUAUGAUUACCAAGGUUAAGCAAUGUCAAGCCUGGUCAGUACUUAGAUGAGUGACUGCUUGGGAACACCAUGUG
Non-coding RNA from Acanthosepion pharaonis, 105 nucleotides. The record is from the annotation of a GenBank genome assembly. NCBI's taxonomy places the organism in Eukaryota, Metazoa, Mollusca, Cephalopoda, Sepiida, Sepiidae.